This is a non-coding RNA of Pelobates cultripes (western spadefoot toad), 203 nucleotides long. NCBI's taxonomy places the organism in Eukaryota, Metazoa, Chordata, Amphibia, Anura, Pelobatidae. The record is from the annotation of a GenBank genome assembly.
CCAGGAUGUACUUUUGAGAUUUUUUGUUGCUGAUACAUAUCAUUUUCCUUAAUAUUGUUGUGUCAUUUGCAAAACUUUCCCAUAUUUUUAUUUGUUUUCCCCUACAUCAACUAUAUCCAAGUAGCUGUCCUUUAGCUUUAUAUGUUAAAAAAAAAUUGUUAAUAGCAGGACUACAGCCCCCAAAAUGCAAAGCAAAUUAUUUG